GCCUUCGUGGUGUAAUGGUCAGCACACUGAGCCGGUAUUUCAGAGGUCCGCGGUUCGAUCCCUAGCGAAGGCA
Molecule: transfer RNA, 73 nt
Filed under: Stegodyphus mimosarum
Lineage: Eukaryota; Metazoa; Arthropoda; Arachnida; Araneae; Eresidae
Rfam family: tRNA
About the family: Transfer RNA (tRNA) molecules are approximately 80 nucleotides in length. Their secondary structure includes four short double-helical elements and three loops (D, anti-codon, and T loops).
Source: Rfam by way of RNAcentral